AUGGAAGGGGAAAUUUUCUCACAAGUUUCUAUUAAAUGUUUGCAGAAAUUGAUAAUCUUAGCAAUCUUAAAAAAAAUGGUUUUUUUUACAUUAGUCAGUUCUACUUCAAUGCCAAUUUUCUCAAAAUCGUAUAUUUCUAGAUCGUUUGGAGAAGUCAUUUUAAAAUAUUCCUAUACCUGCACUUGGGGAAUGUGGCCAAAUGCGUUAUCAACAAAACCAACACCACAGCUUCAUCAAUAUCAUCUUUUUCUCCUUUAUUUUCCAUUUUCAACUGCAUUUUGUAGUCAGUUGAUGAAAUUGCAUCUCAUAGCAGAGCCAAGUUCUGGAAAGACUUUCUCAGAUCCUAACCCUGAUAGAGCAAAGCACUCAGGAAAACGCUUUGUUUAA
RNAcentral lists this long non-coding RNA (387 nucleotides) under Anser cygnoides (Swan goose). RNAcentral describes it as "lncRNA (ENSACDG00005002414.1)". Lineage: Eukaryota; Metazoa; Chordata; Aves; Anseriformes; Anatidae. The record is from RNAcentral.